AGCGGAGAGAGGUAGCUUGCUACUGAUCUUAGCGGCGGACGGGUGAGUAAUGCUUAGGAAUCUGCCUAUUAGUGGGGGACAACAUCUCGAAAGGGAUGCUAAUACCGCAUACGUCCUACGGGAGAAAGCAGGGGAUCUUCGGACCUUGCGCUAAUAGAUGAGCCUAAGUCGGAUUAGCUAGUUGGUGGGGUAAAGGCCUACCAAGGCGACGAUCUGUAGCGGGUCUGAGAGGAUGAUCCGCCACACUGGGACUGAGACACGGCCCAGACUCCUACGGGAGGCAGCAGUGGGGAAUAUUGGACAAUGGGGGGAACCCUGAUCCAGCCAUGCCGCGUGUGUGAAGAAGGCCUUAUGGUUGUAAAGCACUUUAAGCGAGGAGGAGGCUACUUUAGUUAAUACCUAGAGAUAGUGGACGUUACUCGCAGAAUAAGCACCGGCUAACUCUGUGCCAGCAGCCGCGGUAAUACAGAGGGUGCAAGCGUUAAUCGGAUUUACUGGGCGUAAAGCGCGCGUAGGCGGCUAAUUAAGUCAAAUGUGAAAUCCCCGAGCUUAACUUGGGAAUUGCAUUCGAUACUGGUUAGCUAGAGUGUGGGAGAGGAUGGUAGAAUUCCAGGUGUAGCGGGUGAAAUGCGUAGAGAUCUGGAGGGAAUACCGAUGGCGAAGGCGGCCAUCUGGCCUACACUGACCUGAGGUGCGAAAGCAUGGGGGAGCAAACAGGAUUAGAUACCCGGGUAGUCCAUGCCGUAAACGAUGUCUACUAGCCGUUGGGGCCUUUGAGGCUUUAGUGGCGCACUCACCGAUAAGUAAACCGCCGGGGAGUAGGGUCGCAAGGACUAAACUCAAUAAAAUGACGGGGGCCC
This 860-nucleotide ribosomal RNA is filed under the name Acinetobacter seifertii. RNAcentral's name for it is "bacterial SSU rRNA". It matches the Rfam family "Bacterial small subunit ribosomal RNA", at positions 65 to 922 of the family's 1533-position model. The record is from RNAcentral. Lineage: Bacteria; Pseudomonadati; Pseudomonadota; Gammaproteobacteria; Moraxellales; Moraxellaceae.